This 497-nucleotide ribosomal RNA is filed under the name uncultured bacterium. RNAcentral describes it as "partial 16S ribosomal RNA". It matches the Rfam family "Bacterial small subunit ribosomal RNA", at positions 28 to 507 of the family's 1533-position model. The record is from RNAcentral.
GAUGAACGCUGGCGGCGUGCCUAAUACAUGCAAGUCGAGCGAACGGACGAGAAGCUUGCUUCUCUGAUGUUAGCGGCGGACGGGUGAGUAACACGUGGAUAACCUACCUAUAAGACUGGGAUAACUUCGGGAAACCGGAGCUAAUACCGGAUAAUAUUUUGAACCGCAUGGUUCAAAAGUGAAAGACGGUCUUGCUGUCACUUAUAGAUGGAUCCGCGCUGCAUUAGCUAGUUGGUAAGGUAACGGCCUACCAAGGCAACGAUGCAUAGCCGACCUGAGAGGGUGAUCGGCCACACUGGAACUGAGACACGGUCCAGACUCCUACGGGAGGCAGCAGUAGGGAAUCUUCCGCAAUGGGCGAAAGCCUGACGGAGCCACGCCGCGUGAGUGAUGAAGGUCUUCGGAUCGUAAAACUCUGUUAUUAGGGAAGAACAUAUGUGUAAGUAACUGUGCACAUCUUGACGGUACCUAAUCAGAAAGCCACGGCUAACUACGUG